UCAGUAGCGGCGAGUGAAGCGGGAAUAGCCCAUCGCCAAAUCCCCGCGUCCCAGUGGCGUGUGGGAAAUGUGGCGUGAGGAAGCCGUGGCUUACUGGGGACGCGGAGCCGACGUCCUUGUGAAGGAGGCUUUAUCCCACAGAGUGUGUUAGGCCCCCACAGGCUCCCGUUGCCGGUGGCCUUAAGGCUUCUACGAGUCGGGUUGUUUUGGAAUGCAGCCCAAAGAAGGGUGGUAAACUCCAUCCAAGGCUAAAUACUAAGCACGAAACCUGAUAGUUUACAAGUACCAUGAGGGAAAGUUGAAAAGAACUUUGAAGAGAGAGUUCAAUAGGACGUGAAGCUGCUGAGAAGUAAACGGAAAGGCCCCGCACACCUUGGCCGGGAAAUUCAGCGCAAUUUGGAGAUUUCGGCGCCCUGUUCCGUCUGCGUAUUCUCUCACGAGAAACCUGGCGGAGUGGGUCGAAGCAGUCACCAAUCGCGCGCAUUUUUCCCGCGCCUAUGGGGUUGGCGACCGACCGUUACGGCCGAUUGGACGCGGCGAAGGCAGGUAGCUCAUCCCGUCUCGGCGGGAAGAGAACUUAUAGUCUCGCCGUCCGCGUCGGCUGCAAGGUCGAGGAAAGGUGACCACGUGCCGUGCCUGCUCGGGUCUUCGGACCCUGGGGCUGGAGCCGCCGGACUCCCGCUCGUACGGCGUACGGGGACUGUUCUCAGUGCCCGCUCGCCCGUGCGGUCGAGAAAGGCCGGAUCGCCUCUCAGGUUGCAUAGGGUCCGCCAACUUGGCCGGGCGCCUUUUCGACCCGUCUUGAAACACGGACCAAGAAGUCUAACGGACACGCAAGUCGAAGGGCCGUAUACGAAGCCCGAAGGCGCAAUGAAAGUAUAAGACGGUGUAGGCCGUCCGAGGUGGGAUCCCUUCCCUCUGGGUUGGGCGCACCACCGCCCCGUCUCGUCCGCUUUGCUCGGU
Molecule: ribosomal RNA, 963 nt
Filed under: Amphilepis sp. MA14_39_9
Lineage: Eukaryota; Metazoa; Echinodermata; Ophiuroidea; Amphilepidida; Amphilepididae
Description: partial large subunit ribosomal RNA
Rfam family: Eukaryotic large subunit ribosomal RNA
Source: RNAcentral